CUAUGGAUGAAGAAGAGCUGAAAAGGUGUCAGAAUGUCCAUGACUACUAUGCGCUUUACAAGGUCUUUAAGAAAAGUGGGCCUGGUCCUAAGAAUAAUGAGCAGUAUGGUGCACCUUUUAGAGAAGAGGACUGGGUUGAUGAUGAAUGUCCAAGUGCCAAAGCCUCUGUUCGCCCGGUUGAUGAUGAAUGCCCAAGUGCCAAGGCCUCUGUCCGCCAAGACACUUCCGCAAAGCAUGUCAACGAAGCUCCUUCUGUAGAUGGUGGACUUGAGGAGUUGUUGAACAAUACUGCAGAUGAGGCUGUGCUUGUUGAGCCACUU
Molecule: long non-coding RNA, 320 nt
Filed under: Nicotiana tabacum (common tobacco)
Lineage: Eukaryota; Viridiplantae; Streptophyta; Magnoliopsida; Solanales; Solanaceae
Description: long non-coding RNA (NTAB_LNC019454)
Source: RNAcentral